Long non-coding RNA from Gasterosteus aculeatus aculeatus (three-spined stickleback), 1116 nucleotides. The record is from Ensembl. Lineage: Eukaryota; Metazoa; Chordata; Actinopteri; Perciformes; Gasterosteidae.
CGUUGCACACGGACAAGGACUGGCAAGCAAGCACGAGAUGAGAAAGACAGAGACGGAAUUUUCUUAGGUGUCGAUUUAAAUAUUGCAUCGAUUUAUUUUCAUCAGAGGUUUUAACCAUUAAAGUCAUUCAAAGGUCUCGAUCAUCAGAGGAAGAAGAGACCUCAAACUUGCCAGUGUUAAAGGUCGGGGACAAUCGGUGGAAACCCCCCCCUCCUCACCACUUGCUAAGAGGUCAGACGUGAAAAUGUGAAAUGCAUCCACACGCCGCCCCGGUGCUGCGGUUACCACGGCAGCCUUUAACCGUCCGACCACGUCAGCUGGAGGAGGCCUACUUCCUCUCCGGCCUGAGACCACAGAGUGAGAACGCCGUCACAGCCGUGCACCGAGCUGAGACACCGCCACCGCCACGUUUCCCUCAGAAGGGGCUGAAGCUUUCAGUGAGGAAUAGAUUGUCUGCAAUCACAAUAACUAACAGGCCCAUCGUAACAUUUGACCUUUAAGAGGGGGGUGGAUUUUCAUAAGACAGAGAAGGACAGAGAGACACGGAGGAGGCACCAGGCAGUGAGUAACCAUCGGGUUUCAUUUAAUGACAUCUGCAUGCGAGUAAAGCUCCAUAAGAAACGAAAGUGAGCACAACACCGACCCCUGAACAGCCCUUCAGUUCAAGAUAAGUCAUCUUUAUUGCGUCCUACUAGACAUCCUACAGCUCACCCCGUCCUCUUUGAAACCAACCUCUCUAGCAUUGCUUUUGAAUGCUGUGAAAUGACUUUUUGUCCACGUUCAUAUUCUUUGGAAAAAAGCUCUGACAGGAAUCACAGCAGCUGCAAUGCAGCCCCACAUGUUACAGACUGAAGAAUCCCCCGUCCGGCCCACAACACGCGCUGUGUCAGCCGGCAAAGGUCAAAGGCCGUGUGUCACACACACAAUGAUAGGGGCAAGGGGGGCGGGGGGGGGGGGAGUUGGAAACACGAGUCACUGCGAGUCACUGCGAGCACACGAGGGGGCCUUCGGCACGCAGCCGAAAAAAAUAAAUAAUUGUAGGAGCAGCAGGACGCAAGGUCGGCCGUGGUCGGACGGAGAAACUUGCCCACGCAAACAAACAAUACUCAUUAUCUG